RNAcentral lists this small nuclear RNA (153 nucleotides) under Carlito syrichta (Philippine tarsier). RNAcentral's name for it is "U1 spliceosomal RNA (ENSTSYG00000019842.2)". It matches the Rfam family "U1 spliceosomal RNA". From Rfam's summary of the family: U1 is a small nuclear RNA (snRNA) component of the spliceosome (involved in pre-mRNA splicing). Its 5' end forms complementary base pairs with the 5' splice junction, thus defining the 5' donor site of an intron. There are significant differences in sequence and secondary structure between metazoan and yeast U1 snRNAs, the latter being much longer (568 nucleotides as compared to 164 nucleotides in human). The record is from Rfam by way of RNAcentral. Lineage: Eukaryota; Metazoa; Chordata; Mammalia; Primates; Tarsiidae.
AUAAUUACCUGGCAGGGGAUACCAUGAUCAUGAAGGUGGUCUUUCCAGAACAAGGCUUAUCCCUUGCACUCCGGAUGGGCUGACCCCUGCAAUUGCCCCAAAUGUGGAAAAACCGAGUGCAUAAAUUUGUGGUCCUGGGGAACUGGGUUCGUG